This 253-nucleotide ribosomal RNA is filed under the name uncultured bacterium. RNAcentral describes it as "partial 16S ribosomal RNA". It matches the Rfam family "Bacterial small subunit ribosomal RNA", at positions 524 to 776 of the family's 1533-position model. The record is from RNAcentral.
UACAGAGGUCUCAAGCGUUGUUCGGAUUCAUUGGGCGUAAAGGGUGCGUAGGCGGCGCGGUAAGUCGGGUGUGAAAUCUUGGAGCUUAACUCCGAAACUGCAUUCGAUACUGCCGUGCUUGAGGACUGGAGAGGAGACUGGAAUUUACGGUGUAGCGGUGAAAUGCGUAGAUAUCGUAAGGAAGACCAGUGGCGAAGGCGGGUCUCUGGACCGAGACUGACGCUGAGGCGCGAAAGCGUGGGGAGCAAACAGG